UAGGGAAUCUUCGGCAAUGGGGGGAACCCUGACCGAGCAACGCCGCGUGAGUGAAGAAGGUUUUCGGAUCGUAAAGCUCUUUUGUUAAGGAAGAACGGGUGUGAGAAUGGAAAGUUCAUGCUGUGACGGUACUUAACCAGAAAGGGACGGCUAACUACGUGCCAGCAGCCGCGGUAAUACGUAGGUCCCGAGCGUUGUCCGGAUUUAUUGGGCGUAAAGCGAGCGCAGGCGGUUAGAAAAGUCUGAAGUGAAAGGCAGUGGCUCAACCAUUGUAGGCUUUGGAAACUGUUUAACUUGAGUGCAGAAGGGGAGAGUGGAAUUCCAUGUGUAGCGGUGAAAUGCGUAGAUAUAUGGAGGAACACCGGUGGCGAAAGCGGCUCUCUGGUCUGUAACUGACGCUGAGGCUCGAAAGCGUGGGGAGCGAACAGG
RNAcentral lists this ribosomal RNA (429 nucleotides) under Bacteroidota bacterium. RNAcentral's name for it is "Bacteroidetes bacterium partial 16S ribosomal RNA". It matches the Rfam family "Bacterial small subunit ribosomal RNA", at positions 355 to 776 of the family's 1533-position model. Lineage: Bacteria; Pseudomonadati; Bacteroidota. The record is from RNAcentral.